UGAACUUCCCCUUUGCAUGCAACUUUUAACCAAUGCUAUGGAGGCUUCAAGGCAACAACUUCACUCCCAUAGAGAAAAUAAUCAUAUUGGACAAAUGAGACCAGUUCUUGAAGAAUUCAUUCCACUUAAGAAUAACAAUGCAAGUGUUGAAUUAGGAGAUGAAAAAUUAGUGGCAAAUAACACUUCUACUAUUGUUGAUAAUAAGGCAAAUUGGAUGA
This 218-nucleotide unclassified non-coding RNA is filed under the name Hevea brasiliensis (rubber tree). The record is from RNAcentral. Lineage: Eukaryota; Viridiplantae; Streptophyta; Magnoliopsida; Malpighiales; Euphorbiaceae.